Trichechus manatus latirostris (Florida manatee) is the source of this 106-nucleotide small nuclear RNA. The record is from RefSeq and is a predicted model, not a curated record. NCBI's taxonomy places the organism in Eukaryota, Metazoa, Chordata, Mammalia, Sirenia, Trichechidae.
GCAUUUUUAUGCUCACACGUAUACUAAAAUUGGAAGGAUACAAAGAAGAUUGGCAUGGCCCCUGCACAAGGAUGAUACGCAAAUUUGUGAAGUGUUCCAUAUUUUU